RNAcentral lists this ribosomal RNA (253 nucleotides) under uncultured bacterium. RNAcentral's name for it is "partial 16S ribosomal RNA". It matches the Rfam family "Bacterial small subunit ribosomal RNA", at positions 524 to 776 of the family's 1533-position model. The record is from RNAcentral.
UACGUAGGUGGCAAGCGUUGUCCGGAUUUACUGGGCGUAAAGAGCGCGCAGGCGGUCAGAUAAGUCGAAUGUGAAAGCCCCCGGCUCAACUGGGGAGGGUCACGCGAUACUGUUCGACUCGAAGGCAGGAGAGGGAAGCAGAAUUCCCGGUGUAGUGGUGAAAUGCGUAGAUAUCGGGAGGAAUACCAGUGGCGAAGGCGGCUUCCUGGCCUGUUCUUGACGCUGAGGCGCGAAAGCUAGGGUAGCAAACGGG